Molecule: ribosomal RNA, 406 nt
Filed under: uncultured bacterium
Lineage: Bacteria
Description: partial 16S ribosomal RNA
Rfam family: Bacterial small subunit ribosomal RNA
Source: RNAcentral
GACGAACGCUGGCGGCGUGCCUAAUACAUGCAAGUAGGACGAGUUGCGAACGGGUGAGUAACGCGUGGUAACCUACCUAUUAGAGGGGGAUAACUAAUGGAAACGGUAGCUAAUAACGCAUACCAUCGGAUGUGCCCAGAUGGGAUUAGCGAGUAGGUGGUGUAACGGCUCACCUAGGCGACGAUCCCUAGCUGGUCUGAGAGGAUGAACAGCCACCCUGGAACUGAGACACGGUCCAGACGCCGACGGGAGUCAGCAGUGGGGAAUAUUGCACAAUGGGCGCAAGCCGGAUGCAUCCAUGCCGCGUGUAUGAAGAAGGCCGUCGGGUUGUAAAGUACUUUCAGCGAGGAGGCGUUACUCGCAGAAGAAGCACCGGCUAACUCCGUGCCAGCAGCCGCGGUAAUUC